Lemur catta (Ring-tailed lemur) is the source of this 553-nucleotide long non-coding RNA. RefSeq lists it as uncharacterized. The record is from RefSeq and is a predicted model, not a curated record. The transcript has 3 exons. NCBI's taxonomy places the organism in Eukaryota, Metazoa, Chordata, Mammalia, Primates, Lemuridae.
GAAGUAUCAGAGAGUGAUUUUUAUCAUCCACUCAACUGGAUCAUACAGGGAGAGAGGUCAGGAUCACUGGCUGAUACACAUCCAUCUGGACAAGGAGUCAGAGAAGUUGAAGGAAGAUCCAAGAGAUGGUGGAACAACUGCGUUCUAGUUGCUGCCCCACACCAAGGAGGUGAUCCAGCAGAUAAACAAUAUGCAUGGACUAUGGAGACCUUUCCCCAACCUUAUGAGCACAAAACCCAAUAUUCAUGAUAUAGCUGCUCCUCUGCUUCUGCCCUCCAAAUCUCACACAAAAAUGUCUCUUGUGGCACACCCUUAAUUGGAAACAUGUAGGGAAGGGAAUUAUGGGAAAUCUAGUCAGCAUAACUAAAUCAACACAUUACAAAGCCUUCAUAGUCCAUCCUUUGUCAACUUGGACAUAUACACAUCUCUAUAAAUCACAUGAUGUUUCCAGUUUAACUUUAAGUCAUUUCUUGCCUACUUCUAUAUGAGAACCUUAAAGAAUUGGUUCCUGGGCAGGCGCGGUGGCUCACGCCUGUAAUCCUAGCACUCUGGG